RNAcentral lists this ribosomal RNA (363 nucleotides) under uncultured organism. RNAcentral's name for it is "partial 16S ribosomal RNA". It matches the Rfam family "Bacterial small subunit ribosomal RNA", at positions 527 to 896 of the family's 1533-position model. The record is from RNAcentral.
GUAGGGACCAAGCGUUAUCCGGAAUUAUUGGGCGUAAAGGGUGCGUAGGCGGCCAUAUAAGUCUAAGUUAAAAGCCCACAGCUUAACUGUGGAAGGUGCUUAGAAACUGUAUGGCUUGAAUUCAGAAGAGGCAAGUGGAAUUCUAUGUGGAGCGGUGGAAUGCGUAGAUAUAUGGAGGAACACCAGUGGCGAAGGCGGCUUGCUGGGCUGAUAUUGACGCUGAUGCACGAAAGCGUGGGGAGCAAACAGGAUUAGAUACCCUGGUAGUCCACGCCGUAAACGAUGAGUACUAAGUGUUGGAGAAAUUCAGUGCUGAACUUAACAGAUUAAGUACUCCGCCUGGGGAUUACGACCGCAAGGUUG